GGAUCAGUGAUGAGACCCUUGUAUUGUCUUGAAGAGAGGUGAUGACUUAAAAGUCAUGCUCAAUAGGAUUACGCUGAGGCCC
Molecule: small nucleolar RNA, 82 nt
Organism: Callithrix jacchus (white-tufted-ear marmoset)
Lineage: Eukaryota; Metazoa; Chordata; Mammalia; Primates; Cebidae
Gene: SNORD115
Rfam family: Small nucleolar RNA SNORD115
About the family: HBII-52 is a member of the C/D class of snoRNAs, which contain the C (UGAUGA) and D (CUGA) box motifs. HBII-52 is encoded in a tandemly repeated array with another C/D snoRNA, HBII-85, in the Prader-Willi syndrome (PWS) region of chromosome 15.
Source: Ensembl